UUUUGGUUUCAUUCUUUAAGUUCAGCAGAAACCCCCUAUUAUAUUCAUAUUCUACCAAAAUUAUAAUUCUCUUUGCCUCUUUAAUCACAUCUAUUGCAUGCACAUACACGGCAACAAUUGCGUGGACAGAAAAUAAACAUUUGGAGCGUGAUUCUUAGAUCUUCUUUCAAAAUUCGUGGAUUAACGAGGUAGGAUACUAUGUGCAAGUGAUAUGUCGUUGCAAUAUUAUGAUUUUUAUACGUGAUUUAUUUCAUGAAAUGCUAAUUGACUUGCGGGUCCCUAUGAAAUGAAAUGUGAGAUCGCCUUCGAGUCUUCUCAAAUGUGUUAGAGCUUUCGAUUGAUCACUGAUUGCUUUUGAUGAAAUGAUGGUAUGGAAUGUUAUAGAUUCAUAUUUUAAAAGUUAUCAAAUUGUUUUGGACGCACGUAUCGUACUGAAUAUAAAUUACGCACUUCUUCCAUUUUAACUUUUCAGGUCAGAUUGGUCAACGUGGAUGAUGGCUGAGUGGUGCGCAGGUAUCCAAGUAAAAGAAAUUAUUUUAGGAAUCCAUAAUAAAUUUGUUAGGGCAUUUUAUGUUUCUCUUCAAUUCCAUUCAUG
RNAcentral lists this long non-coding RNA (595 nucleotides) under Olea europaea subsp. europaea. Lineage: Eukaryota; Viridiplantae; Streptophyta; Magnoliopsida; Lamiales; Oleaceae. The record is from RNAcentral.